This 683-nucleotide ribosomal RNA is filed under the name uncultured soil bacterium. RNAcentral's name for it is "bacterial SSU rRNA". It matches the Rfam family "Bacterial small subunit ribosomal RNA", at positions 78 to 758 of the family's 1533-position model. The record is from RNAcentral.
GGCAACCCUGGCGGCGAGUGGCGAACGGGUGAGUAAUAUAUCGGAACGUACCCAAGAGUGGGGAUAACGUAGCGAAAGUUACGCUAAUACCGCAUACGAUCUACGGAUGAAAGCAGGGGACCGCAAGGCCUUGUGCUCGUGGAGCGGCCGAUAUCUGAUUAGCUAGUUGGUAGGGUAAAGGCCUACCAAGGCAUCGAUCAGUAGCUGGUCUGAGAGGACGACCAGCCAAACUGGGACUGAGACACGGCCCAGACUCCUACGGGAGGCAGCAGUGGGGAAUUUUGGACAAUGGGCGCAAGCCUGAUCCAGCAAUGCCGCGUGAGUGAAGAAGGCCUUCGGGUUGUAAAGCUCUUUUGUCAGGGAAGAAACGGGUUUGGCUAAUAUCCAGAUCUAAUGACGGUACCUGAAGAAUAAGCACCGGCUAACUACGUGCCAGCAGCCGCGGUAAUACGUAGGGUGCAAGCGUUAAUCGGAAUUACUGGGCGUAAAGCGUGCGCAGGCGGCUUUGCAAGACAGAUGUGAAAUCCCCGGGCUUAACCUGGGAACUGCAUUUGUGACUGCAUGGCUGGAGUGCGGCAGAGGGGGAUGGAAUUCCGCGUGUAGCAGUGAAAUGCGUAGAUAUGCGGAGGAACACCGAUGGCGAAGGCAAUCCCCUGGGCCUGCACUGACGCUCAUGCACGAAA